This 428-nucleotide ribosomal RNA is filed under the name Boulengerula sp. Ngaia Forest. Its description in RNAcentral is "partial large subunit ribosomal RNA". It matches the Rfam family "Bacterial large subunit ribosomal RNA", at positions 1926 to 2554 of the family's 2925-position model. The record is from RNAcentral. Lineage: Eukaryota; Metazoa; Chordata; Amphibia; Gymnophiona; Herpelidae.
AACGGCCGCGGUAUUCUGACCGUGCAAAGGUAGCAUAAUCAUUUGUCUUUUAAAUAAAGACUAGCAUGAAUGGCAAGACGAAAAUUUAACUGUCUCCCUUAUUCAAUCAAUGAAACUGAUCUCCUCGUACAAAAGCGAGUAUACUAAUAUAAGACGAGAAGACCCUAUGGAGCUUAAAACACGCUAACAACUACACCAAUAAAAAUUCAUGUAUAGCUGUUUUCGGUUGGGGCGACCACGGAGAAAACUUAACCUCCGAGACAUUUCACAGAAUACACCUCUUAGAACUAGACCAUCUAAUAAUUUGACCCAAUAAAUUUUGAUCAACGAACCAAGUUACCCUAGGGAUAACAGCGCAAUUUUCUUCUAGAGUCCCUAUCGCCAAGAAAGUUUACGACCUCGAUGUUGGAUCAGGAUACCCCAACAGU